UACGUAGGUGGCGAGCGUUGUCCGGAUUUACUGGGCGUAAAGAGCCCGCAGGCGGUCCGUUAAGUUUCAGGUGAAAUCUCCCGGCUCAACCGGGAGGGUGCCUGGAAAACUGGCGGACUUGAGGCAGGGAGAGGGAUGUGGAAUUCCCGGUGUAGCAGUGAAAUGCGUAGAUAUCGGGAGGAACACCAGUGGCGAAGGCGGGUCUCUGGACAGUUCCUGACGCUGAGGCACGAAGGCCAGGGGAGCAAACGGG
Molecule: ribosomal RNA, 253 nt
Filed under: uncultured bacterium
Lineage: Bacteria
Description: partial 16S ribosomal RNA
Rfam family: Bacterial small subunit ribosomal RNA
Source: RNAcentral